UGUGAUAUGCAUAUUUGGAGUCUGUGUAAAUGUUGACUCAUCUGUCUUUGGAAAGGGUUAGGGCUCUGGUGAGAGCUAUGAGUUCUGUUUUUUGAGAGGAGGUUCCUGGAGGUAGGAGUUUAGCUUUAGUUACUCAGUCAAGGGAAACAAUCACAUACCCAGCAAUUUUUGGGGAGCCAGUGGGCCCGGAAGAGGAGCCAUUUAUAAAUAGCUGGUCAUCGGGGUUGGUGAGAGGCUCGGAGGAAAUGUUUGGAAAGUGUGGCUGUAGGUGAUCCAGGAUGUCAGUGCAAGAAUGAGUAGGAGGGGAAGAGGAUACGGGGAGUAAGGAUGCUGGGUUGAGAGGAGCACUUUUGGCAAGACUUGAAUUCAGGAUUUUUGAUAAAGAGGGCAUGGAGUAAUUGAAUCCGGGAAGGAGGAAGGGAGCUUAAUGCUUGGGAGGAAAGGAGAUUUUGUAGAUUAUGAGGACUGUGGACGGUGGUAUUUUGGCUGAAUGUUAAGGAGCUGCUGUCCACAAACUAAGUAAAGGAAGUAUUUAGAAGGCGUUGGUCUGUUAGGUUUGGAAAGGGUAUAAGAAAGGUUUGAACAGUGUUUACACAGAAGUGUGCAGGGUCUUGACAGGUAGAAAUUUCAGGUAAGAGCAUGGCUGGGUUUAGACGAGAGCUGGUUAGCACGGUGAUUUGGGGAGUUUUUAUGAAUAGAGCAUACAGUUGGAGAAGCUGUGAGGGGGAGAUGAAACUUAGUACACUGUGGUGAGUUAGCAUGUUUUUGAUGUUAUGGGUUGAAUAAACUGUUAGGUUGGCAUGGAGAGAUGGUUUUAGGCUUUUAAGGUGAGGACAGCAGCUGCUGCCAAUGCUUGGAGACAGGCAGGCCGUUUGAGAACUGUGGCUUUAAGCUGUUUAGAGAGGUAGGCAACAACCUGGAGGAUGGGUCCUUUAGACUGGGUUAGAACACCCAGUGUAACUUUAUGCCAUCCGUUGGUAUAGAGGGAGAAAGGUUUGGUGAGGUCUGGGAGAGUGAGGAUGGGGCUGAGGUGAGAGAUUUUUGGAGGAGACAGAAAGGCUGGGUAAUAGGCUAUGCAGAGUUUAAAGGCUCAUGGAGAGGGCCUUUAGUAUCUUGGUAUAACAGUUUGGCAAGUAGAGCAAAGGAGGGAAACUAGAGCCUAAAAUAUCCUGCUAGUCCUAGAAAAGAGAGAAUUUCUUGUUUAGUUUGUGGAGGUGGGAGGGACUGGAGGAGGGAUAUGCGGUGGGUUGUGAGCCUUCAGGUUGGCACGGUAAGGGCUAGGCCUAGGUAGGUGACUGAGGGGGUGUAUAUUUGUGUUUUUUUAGGGGAGACCUAAUACCUCUGUUCUGCUAAGAAGUUUGAAAGAGAGAGAUAGUCUGGGCGUUGCAGUUUUUUUGAGAGGGGCUACACAGGAGCAGAUUAUUAACACAUUGAGGGAGAAUGGAUGCUUUUAGGGAUAAGGUACAGAGGUCGUGAGCAAGGGCCUGCCUAAAAAGAUGGGAGCUGUCUCUGAAGCCUUGAGGUAGUACCCACCAGGACUCAUGUGAUUAUACUGAACUGACCCAGAUAACCCAGGAUAAUUCACAUCUCAAGACCCUUAAACUUGAUGACGUCUGCAAAGUCCCUUUUGCCAUAAGGUUAUAUUGGCAUAUGGUCCAGGAAUUAGUGCAGAGCCACAAUCUCAGAAAGAAAAUGAGAGUGGAUAAUGAAGACAGAUCAUCUGGGUGUAAACCUGAGGAUAUUCCAGAAUAUAGAGGUUAGAGAGAUAAGAAAGAAACUAGCAAGGAAACUAAGGAGCAGCCUCUAAGUAGAAGGAAAAGAAUGGUGAGUUGUAAUUGGAGGUGAAGACAGUUUCAAGGGAGGGUAUGUUAAUUGCUGCUGACACAUCAAGGAAGAUGAGGACUGAGCAUUGACCAUUGGAUUUAGCAACAUGGAGUUUUCUGCUGACCUGGACCUGAGCAGUUUUAAUGGAGUGGUGGGGGCAAUGCAUGACAGAAGAGAAUUCAAGACAGAAGGGACUUUUCCAAAAAAAAAAGGUAUACAAAUGGUUAUUGUGCAACGUGGAAAGAUGUUCACCAAUAUUAGUCAUUUAGGAAAUGAAAAUCAAAAGCACAAUGAGUUACCAGUUCACACUCACUCAGAAGGCAAUAAUCAAAGAAAUGGACAAUAGCAAGGGUUGGGAAGGAUAUGGAGAUAUUCUCCCACAUUGCUGGUGGAAUGUAAAAAUGGUGAAGGUGAAGGUGGAAAAACGGAAAUGAAGUAUUGAGAGGGAGAUGGAAUAUAAGAAGCUUUCUGACAGAUAACCCAAUGGAACAAACUGACUGACUGGGCAUCUGAAAUGAGUAAGAAGGAGUCAAAAAUGAGCAAAAUUAUGCUUCUCUGUGGAUGCAAAUCAUAUCUCCAUUACUUACACCCAGGAGAACUUGUAUGAAGUAGUUAACUUCUCUGGAUUUUAGCUUUUUCAUGUGUACAAUGGGGGGUUUAUGCCUCAUAGAGUUGUAGAAACUGCAAAUGAGAGACUUAUGAAAAGCCUACUGAAUGACCUUAUGAAUAAUAAUAUCAUCAGUGGAAGGUGA
Molecule: long non-coding RNA, 2576 nt
Filed under: Homo sapiens (human)
Lineage: Eukaryota; Metazoa; Chordata; Mammalia; Primates; Hominidae
Description: HSALNT0296027
Source: RNAcentral